UGGGGAAUUUUGGACAAUGGGCGCAAGCCUGAUCCAGCCAUGCCGCGUGAGUGAAGAAGGCCUUCGGGUUGUAAAGCUCUUUCGGCGGGAACGAAACGGUCCAUGCCAACACCAUGGACUAAUGACGGUACCCGAAGAAGAAGCACCGGCUAACUACGUGCCAGCAGCCGCGGUAAUACGUAGGGUGCAGGCGUUAAUCGGAAUUACUGGGCGUAAAGCGUGCGCAGGCGGUUUCCUAAGUCAGAUGUGAAAGCCCCGGGCUCAACCUGGGAACUGCGUUUGAAACUGGGAGACUCGAGUAUGUCAGAGGGGGGUGGAAUUCCACGUGUAGCAGUGAAAUGCGUAGAGAUGUGGAGGAACACCGAUGGCGAAGGCAGCCCCCUGGGAUAAUACUGACGCUCAUGCACGAAAGCGUGGGGAGCAAACAGG
Molecule: ribosomal RNA, 429 nt
Filed under: uncultured beta proteobacterium
Lineage: Bacteria; Pseudomonadati; Pseudomonadota; Betaproteobacteria
Description: bacterial SSU rRNA
Rfam family: Bacterial small subunit ribosomal RNA
Source: RNAcentral